AGAUGAUGAUGAUGCAACUCAAGUGACUCUAGAAACCUUCACUGAUGACCCUAAUCUGGUGAAUGACCCUGCUACAGACGAAACAGCUUCACCGGCUGACA
Long non-coding RNA from Ochotona princeps (American pika), 101 nucleotides. RefSeq lists it as uncharacterized. The transcript has 3 exons. The record is from RefSeq and is a predicted model, not a curated record. NCBI's taxonomy places the organism in Eukaryota, Metazoa, Chordata, Mammalia, Lagomorpha, Ochotonidae.